GGAAAGAGCACUGGGCGGGCGGGCAGGACCUGGAGCUUCGGCUACCCUGAGGUCUGGCAGUGCUUGGGUGGGAGUAGGAAAGGGGCAGAAAUAUAGGUCUUGGAAAGGGAGGAGAGCAAGAAGCCGCUGGCGGGCCGCGGACCGGGAUGAGCUGAGGGAGUUGCCAAGGGCCCCCAGCUAACCUCUCGGUUAUUGUAGUCCCAGUCGUGCCAACCCCCUUGGGCCCAUGAGAUGCUGAGGGCGCGGUAGGGAUCCUACCCCCAAAAGCUCCGUGCCACUUGCUACAGGCAGCUUGGAAAGUUUGUCUGUAGGGGGCCCAAGACCGAAUUCAGCCCCACGCUCGGGGCUGGUACAGAAGUGGGCCGACAAAGACGGAAAUCUGGAGCGUGGGCAGCCUGGGCUGAGGCAAGGGCGAGGAUACGCCGCGGCUGGGGAGAAGAAGGAGAGCGGAAAUCUCCAGAGCUGCCCCCUCUGCACGCCGAUGGUGCUGACUGCCUGGAACGCAGCGCACUGAAAACGACUGGACCUUCAUCUGGAAACAGAGGAUGGAGGUGUGAGAGUCUCGGGGAAGGGCGAAUGAUGCAGAGGUGCUGGGGUUAGGCGAGGAAAGUUUUGAGUUGUGGAACUCUCGCUCCCACUCCUAUCCUGGACUGGGACCUGAAUUUUGAGGCGAGAGAAGAAGAAGCUUCUGUGCCUGGCUCUCCCACUUCAACCACCCACACUCCCAAAGUACAAGUAAAUGUCCAAGAGAGACCAAUGGACCUUGGAAUUUGGAUUUCCCUCAUGGCCCCCAAUCCUACAAAGGGAUUCAUUAUUCUCCUUCACUUUAUUCCCUUUUUUCUUAUUUGAGCCUUAGGGCCCAGGGAAGGUAGAGAGCGAACUUGCUGUGGGAACCAGUGCUCCAGGAGAUAAGGUGUGGAACAAGGUUUGAGGAUGAGGCUUUGUAGCAGUUAUAUUUGACAUUCAGAGAAACAUGCAAAUGAGAUGCAAAGCAGCAUUCAAAUGAGCAGAGAUUAAUUUCGAGACUAAAGUUCAGGCAUGCUUCAUACUAGAGGAAUAAGGCAGCAGCUGGUGGAGGCCAGGAGUGGAGAGUUUUUGCAGAGAUCUCCUUGACCAGGCUGAGGGCCCAUAGUAAAAUACAUUUCUUCUUGGAGCUUCAGCCUGCUUAUCAGCUCCCUUUACUGCCAACAGUACAACGACAUUCCAGCAUCGGUUCGUUCCUGCAUUUCUCCACCCUCUCCCCCUAACCUUGUGGUUAUUCUGUUCCUCAUCAAAAACUAUUUGUUCCAGAACUGAGAGAAGAGGGUUGAUUCAAGGUGUUUGGUUGACUACCUAAGAAACAGCUCUGGGGGAAAACAUUUAGUUUAGAAAGUGUGAAACUGUGGUUGGUAAAGGGGUGGUUUGGGAAUUCCCACAGGAUUUCAGUUAUCUCUGCUUUCUCUGACUCCAAUUAGCCGAAGAACCAAAGGACUCUGAAUAUUUAUAGCCUUGAGGAGACAACCUCCAGACCACAGCUGAAAGGGGGUGGGGACCUGCAGAAAGUAGCCCAGAUCGUCUAUACUCACAUCUUGGCUUAGAAGUUCUAAUUCUCUAGGUCUUU
Long non-coding RNA from Phascolarctos cinereus (koala), 1600 nucleotides. The record is from Ensembl. NCBI's taxonomy places the organism in Eukaryota, Metazoa, Chordata, Mammalia, Diprotodontia, Phascolarctidae.